UGAUAAUAAGGAGAAUAGGAGCUGCGAUAGUUGUAACGGUUCGGAAGUUCCCCACUCCUAUUCUUGGCAGUUGGCAAGGCCGUCAGAAGGUGUCUCUUGCCCUAUGGAGCUAACCAAUGUGAAUCUUGCCCUAUAGAACUCCCAUCCCGUGACACUCGAGGUAGGAGGAAAACUAUCUCGAGCCAAAGCAAAACAACGCAGAUUUCCCAUGUCCCAAAGGACAAGGGAAGCACAUGAAAAGCGCGAAGCAAAAAAUCAAGAAAGAAAACCGGAGCUGAAAUCAGGAGAGAUGAAUAAAAUAUAAUUAAAUAUUUCUUUUUUUAAUUAAUAUGAUACUUUUAAAUUAUUUAGAUGCAUACGCCUGACCAUAGAAAAGUCUUGCUUCAAACAAAGUUAAAAUUGAAUUUUCUUUCACUUUAUUUUAAAAGUGCGUGAUAUUCUCCGCCAAAUUAAGAGGGGUCCACAUUCUGAUCACAAUCUGAUCACAUCAUGUGGCUUUUCACAUUUUCAGUUUGUGCAUAAUCUUCUUAGGGAAGAGGUGAAAUCGCCUUCUUAUUGUUCCUGUAUGAGAUUAUUUGAGUUUCCAAUCAAUGUCAUCUCCAAAUGAUUGAAACAUUAUUAUUGAUUAUUGAAUGUUUCAAACUUUCAAUAUUCCGAUGUCUUUUCUCACUAUAUUUUGAAAAUAAUAUGUAUCCCUCUGUAUUUUAUGAAAAAUAUUUAUUUUAAAAAUAUAUAUUUUUUAACAUUUAGAAUGCUUAGAAAAUUCUUAUAUGAAAUUAUUUGAGUUUCCAAUCAAUGUCAUCUCCAAAUGAUUGAAACAUUAUUAUUGAUUAUUGAAUGUUUCAAACUUUCAAUAUUCCGAUGUCUUUUCUCACUAUAUUUUGAAAAUAAUAUGUAUCCCUCUGUAUUUUAUGAAAAAUAUUUAUUUUAAAAAUAUAUAUUUUUUAACAUUUAGAAUGCUUAGAAAAUUCUUAUAUGAA
This 980-nucleotide unclassified non-coding RNA is filed under the name Hevea brasiliensis (rubber tree). Lineage: Eukaryota; Viridiplantae; Streptophyta; Magnoliopsida; Malpighiales; Euphorbiaceae. The record is from RNAcentral.